RNAcentral lists this long non-coding RNA (2635 nucleotides) under Homo sapiens (human). Its description in RNAcentral is "HSALNT0314777". Lineage: Eukaryota; Metazoa; Chordata; Mammalia; Primates; Hominidae. The record is from RNAcentral.
AGUUGUAGUUCUCUGGGACUCCGUCCUCCUACAGAACGAUAGGGGCAGACAGGUUAUUUGUCGAGGGACACACACAUCUUUUAAGAGAUGAGUCAGUCGUCGUCACCUACGUUAUGACUGUUGAAAGAAUGAUGAAAUGAAUAAAAUGAAUGAAUGGCUCCCGAAACUACCACUGAGGAGUUCCCGACCGUCGCUAAGUGACGUGAGACUUGUGAAGAACUCAAGCAUCCUACAAACAUUUAAUCUGAAUUUAAUGUGACAAGGGAUGUGACAGAUGGAUGUACGGAGCGAUGUGGGAAUACAUAAUGGGACGCGGAGUCCAUCAUGAGUUCAGAGAAAAGCUUCUGGACAUUGGAAUUGAGUCCUGAAGAAUGAGUUAGCAUCUGCGAGUGGUUAAAGGAAAAAAAGGUGCUGUGCAGAAGAAAAUGAGUGUAAGAAACGAUGUAUGUGGGAACCCUAAGUAAUUCAGUGCCCCUACACUGUCAAUCUAGGGCUGCAAACUCAAAUGUCUGCAUUAAAGGAAGCAACUAGGAAAAUCAACGCCCAGGAGAGCUGGGGCUGUUGAAAACUGCAGGAGGUAUUUCUGCUGAAAGUAGGGCCGACCCUAUUCAGCCAGCUCUUGUCAUUCCAGUUGAAGAGAGGCCAUUUGACAUUCUAGAGGUGGCAGCAUGCAAACAUUUAAAACCGUUGAGAGAAUACAGCACACCAGGGAGACUAUUAUUAUGACUAUCAGGAGGAUAAUACCAAGAGUUGAGAGAAGUCUGCAUGAAUCUGCUUUAUGUUUCCUGCCUCCAGACCCUAUUCUCUUGCAUCAGUAGGGUUGAAUAAACUACACACAUGGUUUAUCUUAAACUGUCUUCUAAAUAGGAAUAUUCUGAUCUAGAAUCCUUCAUUUCUUCCAGCUCCUCUGCACCACCAACCUGGUGGAUAUGGGCCCAUGUGUCACUUAGGGUUGAUGUUAUCAUUUCACUUCCAAAAGUCGUUUUCAGAAGAUAGUCUUUUUAUAAACGUUAACACAAAGUGUACAAAAUGUGUUACUUUACUAUUUUUGUCAUACAUUGGCAACCUCUUUAGUAUCUAGAGAGUGGAUAUUUUAAAAUUAGGACUCAUUUUUCCAGUAUAUAACACAAUAUGUAGUAUAGCAAAGUUACUUGCAAUGCAUUUAACAUAUAAGGCAAUGGAUAAACUGAAAUUUUCUAGUACACAAUAGCAAAACAUCUUUUGUAAUUUCUUCCCUCUCACCUUCCUCAACUGAAUGAACAAGUAACACUGUUCACAGAGGUGAUUUAACAAUCCCACUUGCAAACACAGUAUUUCCCAUCAGUUUUUAAAAGCUAUUUACAAAAAGUGUUAUUAUACUAUUUCUACUUUUAAAUACAUCAAGCAUUUCUAACUAUCUAGAGAGACCAGAUAUUUCAUAUAACUUUCCACUGUGUACAUAGCACUGUAAAAUAAAAUUGCACAUGUAUCAGUGGCUAUAAUCGGAGGUAUCUUCUAAAUAUGACAAUUUUGACCUUGAACCAGUCCUUCCUCACUCCCUUCUCUCUGUCUUCAAUCCAGUGGACAGGUACAGGCAUGUGUAACGCUUAGAGAUGGCUGAACAAAUUCAUACCCAAAAAUCAUUUACAGAAGACAAGCUUUCCUAUGAAUUUCAAUACAAAGUGUGCAAAAUGUGCUAAUUUUACUAGAUACUUUGUCAUACACUGGCAACUUCUUAAACAUCUAGAGACCAAAUGUUGCAAAAUUAGGACUCAUUUGUCCAUUAUGUACUCUACAUACACAGCAAAACAAAAUGCACAAAACAGACAGAAAAAUGGCAAGUGAAAUGUCCAAGUAUGAACACACUAGCAUAUUACCUUUGGCAAUUUCUUCCCUCCCAUUUCUAAACCAUUGAACAAGUAUAGACAGUACUAUACUGCUUACAGAGGUGGCUUCACAAUUCCACUUCCAAAAGACAGUACUUCCCAAGAAUUUUAGCAAAAAGAUAUUUACAAGGUGAUAUUUUACUACCUCUACACUUAACAUACAUCAGGCAAUUCUGAACAUCUACAUAGAUAAGAUGUUUCAGGUAAGAAGUUAAUUCGUCCACUAUAUGCACAGAAGUCUUGAAUAAAGUGAACACAUGUAAAAACAGUUAUGACUGAGUCUUCCAAGUAUGAACAUUCUGGCCUACACCUUCCCAUCUCCAUCAACCCACUGGGCAAUAAUGCUCAAAUUUUCAGAAGACUGUCUUUCCUGGGAAUCUUAAAACGAAAUGUACAAAAUAUAUUAGUUUACUAACUACUUUUGUCAUACACUAGCAACCUCUUUAACAUCUAGAAAGACUAGAUGUAAAGUCAGGACUCAUUUGUCCUUUAGAUCCACAAUAUACCCAGAUAAGUAAAACAAAAUGCCCAGGCAUGAGACAAUGGUUAACCUUGCCUCACUAUAAGCACAUUGGCAUAGAGCUCUUACACUUCCUUUCCUCUCUCCUCCCCUGAACCAGUGCACAAACACAAUGUGUAUUAUUAACAGGUGGUUUGGCCACCCCCCCCAACCAAAACAACAUUACAUAUGAAUUUUAACAAAAAGAUUUACAAAAUGUGUUAUUUUACUAUCUCUAAUUUUAACAUAGGCAUUUCAGAACAUCUAGAAA